This 253-nucleotide ribosomal RNA is filed under the name uncultured bacterium. Its description in RNAcentral is "partial 16S ribosomal RNA". It matches the Rfam family "Bacterial small subunit ribosomal RNA", at positions 524 to 776 of the family's 1533-position model. The record is from RNAcentral.
UACGUAGGGUCCGAGCGUUGUCCGGAAUUAUUGGGCGUAAAGAGCUCGUAGGCGGUUUGUCGCGUCUGCUGUGAAAUCCCGAGGCUCAACCUCGGGUCUGCAGUGGGUACGGGCAGACUGGAGUGCGGUAGGGGAGAAUGGAAUUCCUGGUGUAGCGGUGGAAUGCGCAGAUAUCAGGAGGAACACCGAUGGCGAAGGCAGCUCUCUGGGCCGUAACUGACGCUGAGGAGCGAAAGCGUGGGGAGCGAACAGG